GCACGGGUGUCCGAGUUUGGCCAAAGGAGUAGGACUGAGGCUCCUAUGGUGCAGACCUGCGAGGGUUCAAAUCCCUUCCCGUGCA
This 85-nucleotide transfer RNA is filed under the name Candidatus Helarchaeota archaeon. RNAcentral's name for it is "tRNA-Leu". It matches the Rfam family "tRNA". From Rfam's summary of the family: Transfer RNA (tRNA) molecules are approximately 80 nucleotides in length. Their secondary structure includes four short double-helical elements and three loops (D, anti-codon, and T loops). Further hydrogen bonds mediate the characteristic L-shaped molecular structure. tRNAs have two regions of fundamental functional importance: the anti-codon, which is responsible for specific mRNA codon recognition, and the 3' end, to which the tRNAs corresponding amino acid is attached (by aminoacyl-tRNA synthetases). tRNAs cope with the degeneracy of the genetic code in two manners: having more than one tRNA (with a specific anti-codon) for a particular amino acid; and 'wobble' base-pairing, i.e. permitting non-standard base-pairing at the 3rd anti-codon position. Lineage: Archaea; Promethearchaeati; Candidatus Helarchaeota. The record is from RNAcentral.